Bombus huntii is the source of this 1182-nucleotide long non-coding RNA. RefSeq lists it as uncharacterized. The record is from RefSeq and is a predicted model, not a curated record. The transcript is spliced from 2 exons. NCBI's taxonomy places the organism in Eukaryota, Metazoa, Arthropoda, Insecta, Hymenoptera, Apidae.
UCAAUACGCGGUCUUUUUUGACAGAUCUUCACUGAUUCGAAAACGUAGAAUUAUCUUCCAAAGCUACCACGAAUAAUUUUUUGAUACUCUGUACAUGAAAUAUUUUGAGAUUUAAGAAUUUCGUUGAUGCUUUAAGCAUUGACUAAGGAGAGGAUAGACGUGGCAUUAAAUAGAAAUUUAUUUCAGUUUCUCUAAUAUCGACGAGGAAAAAAAUCAGAGUACAUAUUUCUUACGCCCUCUGUUAUUUAAUACGGUGAACGUAGGACUUAUGAUCAACUUAAUCAUCAAAUGCGAUGAAGAGAUAAGCCUCGAUUACAUGCAAUUCAAUACACAAUAAAUAAUAUCGGCCGGUACUGAUAAACUUCAACUUGGUUUAUAUGUCUCGCAUCGUACAUCACCCAGAAUAUAAUGGAUCGAGGUUAACGAAAAGAAACGAAUAAAAUCUAGUUCACUUAUGUGAAUUAUUGCAAAGCUAUAUUCAAUUCGACGGGCAGAAACGGGAUAACAUGAGCGGAAAUGGGAUAAAAAGUGUAAGGAAAUGCGAAGUUCGAAUACCUGGUUCGACCGCCUGUUUUUCGUUACCUUCGGAUAUGAGAAAAAGAAAGCGUCAAUAUUAAAGGCGCCGUAAAUUAAUCCCUCAUUCGCAUGGUGUGUGGACCAGCGGUCCCAACGUCUUGCGAUUGUGAUUGCCUGGGUUCCGUCAUGCUGGGUUCUAGUGAGAGAUAGCGAAGUCACUUAGGGAUGUUGAAAGGGACCCUCUCCCUCGCUAGCGCACAGGCUGACGAGCUUUAAUCUUCUUCGCGGCUGUGACGCCGAGGGUACCCAAGCAUUCUUUGCACAAUCGUCACAGUGGACAAACGUAAAAUUAAAAUCAUGCGAGUUCGUCAUUUUUCGAGUUUGCAGAACGUGCUACAAACAGGAUUAUCGUGAAUUCGCUUUUAAUGCUUCUUAUAAACAGAUGAAAACAGAAACAAAUGGGAGAAAACGGGAGGACGCUAGUGAAAAUGGGCAGAAACGGGAAAAAUCUCGCGAAAACAAGAGGAAACUGACAGAGACGCUAACCCGUCUAUACAAUGGAUCCCCAGUCAACACUUGUUAAAAUUUUUUAUGUACAUAUUAUAUACAUUCACACAUGCUAUAUGUAUAUUUGCUUUUCAAAUUAAAGUAAAUGUAGGAACUGUU